Nerophis ophidion (straightnose pipefish) is the source of this 3664-nucleotide long non-coding RNA. RefSeq lists it as uncharacterized. The record is from RefSeq and is a predicted model, not a curated record. Lineage: Eukaryota; Metazoa; Chordata; Actinopteri; Syngnathiformes; Syngnathidae. The transcript is spliced from 2 exons.
CUCCACCAAUUGGGUUGGGAUAGAGAGGAAAUGUCGGAUAAUCAUUCUUGGUAUUGUUUGAAGGUUAAUUUGGAUGUCUUAAUGUGCUGCAAAAAGAAUGAUAACACUCCGCACGCUUUGUCAGUAAGAACUUAGUGCCUUCAUAAAGAACAAAUCGGACUUGUAGGUGAGGAAUAAUAUCAGCUUGAUUCUGUCUGGCAUCGCUCCAUUUGAUCCUGCUGAAUACUUCUUUCCUGUUUCAUCAGCUUGCCUUCCCUCCUGGUUUCAUCCUUCAGAGGCCCGCAGGCUCCGCUUUGAAGUGUCACACGUGAUGGGAACCUUUUGGGGGAACCGCUUCACUGAUGCAGUGAUGAGAUGGUGACCUGUCCAGGGUGUAAACCGCCUCCCGCCCGAAUGCAGCUGAGAUAAACUCCAGCACCACCCGCGACCCCGUAAGGGACAAGCGGUAGGAAAUGGAUGGAUGGAUGGAUGUUUAUUUAUACAAAUUCUUGAUUUAUUUGUAUGUCACAUUUUUAUAUUCAUCAAUUUUGUUUGUAUAUAUUUUCAAAUCUCAAAAAUAUAUUUACAAAUUCACGUUUAUUUAUACAAAUUAUGUAUUCAUAUGUAUAUCAAAUUUGUAUUUGUAUAUGUAUUAGUAUAUGCAUAUGUAUUAAUAUCAUGUCUAUAUAUAUCAAUCAAUCAAUCAAUGUUUACUUAUAUAGCCCUAAAUCACUAGUGUCUCAAAGGGCUGCACAAACCACUACGACAUCCUCGGUAGGCCCACAUAAGGGCAAGGAAAAAUUCACACCCAGUGGGACGUCGGUGACAAUGAUGACUAUGAGAACCUUGGAGAGGAGGAAAGCAAUGAUGUCGGGCGGGUCUAACAUGAUACUGUGAAAGUUCAAUCCAUAAUGGAUCCAACACAGUUGCAAGAGUCCAGUCCAAAGCAGAUCCAACACAGCAGCGAGAGUCCCGUUCACAGCGGAGCCAGCAGGAAAACAUCCCAAGCGGAGGCGGAUCAGCAGCGCAGAGAUGGCGGAGCAGUACAUGGCCACCGGAUCGGACCGGACCCCCUCCACAAGGGAGAGUGGGACAUAGGAGAAAAAGAAAAGAAACGGCAGAUCAACUGGUCUAAAAAGGGAGUCUAUUUAAAGGCUAGAGUAUACAAAUGAGUUUUAAGGUGAGACUUAAAUGCUUCUACUGAGGUGGCAUCUCGAACUGUUACCGGGAGGGCAUUCCAGAGUACUGGAGCCCGAAAUGAAAACGCUCUAUAGCCCACAGACUUUUUGGGGGCUUUGGGAAUCACUAAUAAGCCGGAGUCCUUUGAACGCAGAUUUCUUGCCGGGACAUAUGGUGCAAUACAAUCGGCAAGAUAGGAUGGAGCUAGACCGUGUAGUAUUUUAUACGUAAGUAGUAAAACCUUAAAGUCACAUCUUAAGUGCACAGGAAGCCAGUGCAGGUGAGCCAGUACAGGCAUACAUAUAUAUAAGUUGAUGAGGGACAAUUCUACUUCCAUGCACAUUUACUCUAGGAGCUGAAAAAUUAAAAGCAGAUAUUAUUUUUCGUUUUACUGUCGACAGGGAAGUUUGAGACGCUCCCUGACAUCCAGCAAAGCAAAUCCGCCUUUUGUUCUGGUCGUGGAUCUGGCCGUGGUGCUGAAAUGUUUCAACCUCGUACCCCCGUCAUGAUGUACGACUAAUGAGUGAUGGAUUCAUUCGAUCUUUUUGUGUACAAAAACACAAAUAUUCCAUCGGACUUGUCAAAAUGCAUUACGUCUGCAUGUAAACAAAGAUGCCACAUGCAAGAGGCCGCCGCCGCACAUGCGCACUAGACACGAUUUGGCAUUGGACCCACUGGGUUUAAAACCCGAACCAGGUCCAAGGCACAGCUCUGUCGGAUCCAUGGGUGAUCCUUUAUUUGUCACCGGGGAACAGCUGCUCUUUAACAUUAAGACCGCCAUCUGCCAGCCGUCCCUAAAUCCCCAUAAGCCUAUAGGCGAGGUAAACACUGGACGCGGGCGAUACUGCAUAUUUUGGUAUUGAUUCGAUACCAAGCACACAGUCAAGUCGAUACGGAUACUGAUGCCGAUACGUUUUUGGGAGUGGUAGUAAUUUGUCGAUCAAAUCAAAUAUUUUUGGACUGGACUUAUAAAUAGAAUUGUCAACAAUAUAACCAUAAGACAAUAUAAAUGAUGCAGGUAUCCCUAUUGAUAAUUGUUUAAUUACUUAUUAAUUAGUGAAGUGAAAGUGAAGUGAAACAUAUUUAUAUAGCGCUUUUCUCUAGUGACUCAAAGCGCUUUACAUAGUGAAACCCAAUAUCUAAGUUACAUUUAAACCAGUGUGGGUGGCACUGGGAGCAGGUGGGUAAAGUGUCUUGCCCAAGGACACAACGGCAGUGACUAGGAUGGCGGAAGUGGGAAUCGAACCUGCAACCCUCAAGUUGCUGGCACGGACGCUCUACCAACCGAGCUAUGCCGCCCCAUAUUAUUCAGCUUUUUGCCCUACAACGCGCAGCAACAUGCAAAAUGGACUGCUUACCUCACUAGUCGAACCAUGUGAUUCAGUCAAAGAAAUGAUACUGAAUGUUAUUGAUUACACAUCAUGAAUGUCUUAUUCAGAAUGUAUGAACGUAAGACUUGAUGUGAUAAGUUACUGUAUUGUUAAAAAUUUGCUAAUUUUAUUGCCCAGUACUUAUAACGGAUCCGGGGGGUCCAUUUGUGGCUAUUUUACAGACAAAAUAGACACAUCCGGGAUUCGAAAAUUACACAAAAAACUAAGAAAACACAAAAUACCUCCUAAAAAAAAGGACCUGCAAAACAACAGACAUAAUGGCCGAUGACUUGUGCAUCUUACUGGAUAUGAUAUUUGAUGAGUUUUGUGUACAAAUGUCUUGCAAGGUUUUCUGGAAGUGGGCUAAAUCCCUUAAAAAGGGUUUUGGUUGGCGGAAUAUUAAAGUUAGUAAAUAAGAAGAAGAAAAUAAUAAAUGUCACAUGGGGGUUGGAUUGGAAAUACACUAAUUUCCUUUGUUUCCAACAGUGUAACACAAAGCUAAGAUGUUAAUGUUUUGUUCAGAUAAUUGAGCAUAUAUGUCAGGGGUCGGGAACCUUUUUGGCCGAGAGAGCCAUGAAAGCUGAAUAUUUUAAAAUGUAUUUCCGUGAGCGCCAUAUCAUAUUUUUUAACACUGAAUACUACUAAAUGCAUGUUUUUUUUAAGUAAAACCAACAUUUUUAGAGUAUAUUAAGUCUAAUUAUUUUUAAUAACAUUGUUAUUUCUUGAACAGGUGCGAUAGAAAAGGGAUGGAUGGAUUAAAAUGCAUGAGAAUGUUUUAUAUUUUGAACGUUAUUUUUAACAUUGUGAUUACCAGCGGAAUUAUUCAUUACUUAUCGCGUUAAGCAAUGUCAGCUAUGAUUUACAUAUCUGAGAGCCAGAUGCAGUCAUCAAAAGAACCACAUCUGGCUCUAGAGCCAUAGGUUCCCUACCCCUGAUAUAUGUUGAUAACCUCCAAUGUGUUGGUUGUAGUGUUUUUAAUGUAUUAAAAUAGCUGCCGCAUCAUUCGGUAUUUCCCUUGUUUUUAUUGUGCAAUUGCACACACACACACACACACACACACACACACACACACACACACACACACACACACACACACACACACACACACACACACACACACGCACACACAGUACAUA